This 56-nucleotide transfer RNA is filed under the name Ophidascaris sp. CYZ-2020. Its description in RNAcentral is "tRNA-Pro". Lineage: Eukaryota; Metazoa; Nematoda; Chromadorea; Rhabditida; Anisakidae. The record is from RNAcentral.
CAGUGUUUAGUUUAUUUUAGAAUAUGGUGUUUGGGGCAUUGAGGAUGGUUCACUGA